Erigeron canadensis is the source of this 2251-nucleotide long non-coding RNA. RefSeq lists it as uncharacterized. The record is from RefSeq and is a predicted model, not a curated record. The transcript is spliced from 4 exons. NCBI's taxonomy places the organism in Eukaryota, Viridiplantae, Streptophyta, Magnoliopsida, Asterales, Asteraceae.
AUCUUCUUUAACUCAGCACAUCAAAAUGGAGGUUCGAUACUUCGAUCUGAGAUAAUCUAAAAAGUGAGAGUAAUUGAUGGUAUCUGAUUUCUUUAUCAUCGAUCCAUCUAUCAAUUUUCCGACCAUGGUUUCACCGUCUAAUAACUCUUAGAUUAAUGGACAAACUUAACUAUCCCUUUAAAGACUACUAUCUUCGUCCUAUAUCUGACGCCGAAGCGGGGGAGCUUCUCGGGACAGCUGAGGAGGGCGAGAGCUUGUCAUGGUUGAGGAGGUUGAAGAUGAUGAAGAUAGUGAUUCCUAUCUUGACCGAAAUGCAGAGAGGUCUGGAGAUGAGCUUUUUGGUCCUCCUUCCAAGCUUCAGAAGACUUUCCAGCCUAUCUUUGCAUCUUAUGGGAGUGUUGGAGCCUUUACCCCUUAUAGCUAGGGAGGGCAUACUAAAGAUCAGAUUACUUCACCCGCACUGAUGUUUCUUACCUCUCCAUCUACCCAGACUACGUCAGCACCUUCUUCUUCUUCCUUCUUACUUGGUGCUGCUUCCGGUCCUAACUUUCCUAUCUUUGCUAACCGUAUUGUGGAGAAGAGUUAUUUUUUCCAGUUCUAGGUCAUCUCUUCGCGUGGACUCUUUUUCUCCUGAGCAUGUGUAUGCCAUAAAUCGUCAUGCUGAGGCUAGGGUGAAAGUUAGCUCUCCUACUGCCCCCUUUCAGCCUUCGUGGGCGAGGUCUACUCUUGUUCCGACAAAAGCCGCGAGUUUAAUAGGUCCAUUGGGAACCUAUAUUAUGCUCAUCCGACAUUGAUUAAGGUUAAAGAUGAUGGUCAGAAUCCCGAGCACGUGAAGAAGCUUUUAGAGGCCAUGAUUCCCCUCAUUCUUUUUGCUGAGGCUGGCUUUAGAGAUAUCUCUGAGCUCUCCCGUCUUUAGUAUGUCCACACCCUUAAUUGUGUUGCAAGUGUGUGGCAUUUCAGACUGCUGCCUUAGGUAAGAUUGACUCACUGACUCAUGAGAUGGAGAGACUCCAGAGAGAGUUGUCUUCUCGUGAUACUAGGCUUGCUUCCCUCUCUAAGGACUUAGACGAAGAAAAGCUUGUUUGUACUCGUCUUAGGGAGGAGAGAGAGAAGAUUGAUUCUGAGCUUCAGUUAGUGAGAGAUGCUCUUGAGUCUUUUACUCAAGAGAAUGAGAGGAUUGUAGAGAGAUUUUCUCAGUUGGAGAGUAAGACUAAUCUUCUAGAGGUUGGCAUGGCUUACAAGGCGAAAAAGCUUAUGACCUUAGGAAGAAGAAUAAGGAUUCAGACUCUACGUUGGAGGUCCAGGCUAGUGACAUUGACCAUAUGAGAUCUUUACUGAGUUCUUUUCCUCGGUUUUUAAGGACCUACUGAGUCAUCCAGAUGUGAAGCAGACUUUUGCCCACUUUAUGCUUGCUGCCAUCAAUUUUGGCCAUUAUGAGGGUUCUCCCAAGAAGUUAGAUUUCCAUAAGGAUAGUGCAGUCAAGGCUCACCAGCAGAUGAUAGAUAGUGGUAAAUUCUGGGAUGAGCGGCGGUUUCUUAUAUUGAAUGAGGUUGCCUCUCUACUUAGCACGUCCGAGGUUUCCACUAAGGAUGUAUUUGAUCUCAUCAUUAUUCCCCCUAGCAAAGAAGCUUUAGAUGCUGCAUUUAGGUCAAGUGUUCUGCAUCCAGGUGUUCCUCCAGGUGUUCUAGUCAUGCCUUCUUCUCGAUCUCCUGAUGUCUCAGCUACCUCUGCCUCGACUUCAAUGGCCUGCAUUGAUUCCCCUACUCAGGGUAGCCCUUGUCGUUGUGUUAUCUUUGGGGAGAUGUUCCUUUUGUUAAAAAGGAAUCAUUGGUUUACAUUUGGCCUUCGAGACAAUAAGAGAACGCUUAUGGAUACUCCCAAUAAGGUUCCCAUGUGGCGGUUUGACUAGUUUGUAGAUGAUACCUUUAUUCCGGAAGUCGAAGGUUGCAUUUCGCCUUGGUAGGAAAGUGGACGACAAAGAAAUGAAUAAAGCAGCUAAUGCUAAGGUUCCAAAGGCAAUGCUCAAUAAGGAAUGUUAUGACAUACUUUGCUCCCUUCCUACCAUUCCAUAUAGUUAUUACCCUGAGGGUAUGUUGCCCAUGACUUAGAUUAGCCCGGAUUGGGAUUGGACUAGGAUCCUCAUACUUAGGAAGAAAUCCACGGGUGAAUGUAAAAUUUCAAUCCUUAUUAUUAUUGUCAUGUAUGUUUACUAUAUUUUCUUGCUUUCUAACUUUAUAAUUUUUAUUUUUCA